This 466-nucleotide ribosomal RNA is filed under the name uncultured bacterium. RNAcentral describes it as "bacterial SSU rRNA". It matches the Rfam family "Bacterial small subunit ribosomal RNA", at positions 329 to 792 of the family's 1533-position model. The record is from RNAcentral.
GUCCAGACUCCUACGGGAGGCAGCAGUGAGGAAUAUUGGUCAAUGGCCGAGAGGCUGAACCAGCCAAGUCGCGUGAGGGAAGACGGCCCUACGGGUUGUAAACCUCUUUUGUCGGGGAGCAAAGCGAGUCACGUGUGACUCAUUGAGAGUACCCGAAGAAAAAGCACCGGCUAACUCCGUGCCAGCAGCCGCGGUAAUACGGGGGGUGCAAGCGUUGUCCGGAAUCAUUGGGCGUAAAGCGUUCGUAGGCGGUAAAGUAAGUCAGAUGUUAAAGCCCGGGGCUCAACUCCGGUUCGGCAUUUGAUACUACUUGACUAGAAUGCGGUAGAGGUAAAGGGAAUUCCUGGUGUAGCGGUGAAAUGCGUAGAUAUCAGGAGGAACAUCGGUGGCGAAAGCGCUUUACUGGGCCGUUAUUGACGCUGAGGAACGAAAGCCAGGGUAGCAAACAGGAUUAGAUACCCUUGUA